This is a microRNA precursor of Oryza sativa Japonica Group (Japanese rice), 204 nucleotides long. It matches the Rfam family "MIR812 microRNA precursor family". The record is from Rfam. NCBI's taxonomy places the organism in Eukaryota, Viridiplantae, Streptophyta, Magnoliopsida, Poales, Poaceae.
CUUCAGUUAUUCCGGCAUAAGUUUCCGUGCCUAACUUUAAUCGUCCGUCUUAUUUAAAAUAUUUUUUAAAAAAAUUAAAAACAUAAGUCAUGCAUAAAGUAAUAUUCAUGUUUUAUCAUUUCUUAACAACAAAAAUACUAAUUAUAAAAAAAUUUAAAUAAGACAGAUGAUUAAAAUUGGGCACGGAAACUAGUUGCACUUAAA